AAGACUUGCUUUGCCUGGAGACAUACAACAUGUCAGCCUGCUGCCGUGAGCUGUUUUGCUGUGCAUUGCUGGGGAUGUGUUCACUCUCACGCAAAUCAGCACAGACCAAGCUGCACUCACAGAACAAUUUUGUUUUCGUUCUCCUCCCCAUCCCACUGAGACAGGAAGGCGCAGCAUUACAGCCUGCUGCCAUGAAUUUAAAUUUCUACUGGACACCCAGGACUGCAAAGAAUGCAGAGUUUCACAUCACGUGUCCUUGGUUUUGGCUUCAAGUGCAACUUGCUAUUAAUUAAAGAUUCCUGUCAUGAUCCUUAACACAGGGCAAAAAAAAUAUUUUGUUGUAUACUCAGAAGUGAAUGGAUAGAAACAGUAAUAAAUAUAGUAAAUACAGAACAUACAGAAAAAAUAUUACUCUGCUCCCUCAGAAAGGAAACAAACAUACUUCCUUCUGUACUUAUAAGGGGGCAAUAAAGAAAAAAAUUGGCAUUUUAUUUACAAAUAUUUGUGCUUUCUGAGACCAUGGGUGAUUUGUAAAGUAUACAGCUUUCGUGAUGCCUAACACAGUCACACAAGUUUUUCAAUGUACUAACUUCUGUCAUAGAAAUAAGUCCCCAUUAUGUACAAUUUAUGCUGUUUUAAGCUAAUCUCAACCAAGUAACAGACUACAUUUAGAAUUAUUGAUCACAUUUUGGAGAAACAGAUGCAACUAAAUCUUUUGUUUCUAUAUAUAAUGAAAAGGCAGAAAAGGAGUAUUAUAUAGCCAUGGACAAUGUUGGUUAAAGGGAACAUCAGUGGUUUGGACAGAAGCUAAAUGUGAUUAAUAGACUAAGUUCUGCUUUUAGAGACAAUGACAAUCCUCUCAUCAGGAGAAUUUUAUUUUAUUGUAAGUAUAAGUUAAAUAUCCAAAACAAAGAUUUUUAGAAAUUUUGGUUUUCCAAGGUGUCCAUGCAAAUGGAAAAAAAAAUCAAAAGUAGCAUAAUUCUGCAGUUCUCUAACGCCCAAAUGCAAAAUUGCUACUCUGACAAUUUUUCUGCUCUAUCUACUAGCUAUAUCAGGUCAGAAACCUCAGGUUCUCUUUUUGACAAAGGCUUUGCUUAAACUAGCAUUUGCACAUACAUUUUGAUAUACCUUUAUCUCUAUGUCUGACUGAAAUAUUAUUACAGUUUUUAAGUCUGGGUAUGAGAUUCAAGUACAAGCAAGUUUAUCUUAUGUAUGCUGUUUUGGAUACAAGAGCAAAAAUAUAUAAAGUCUGGGUAAACAAUUUCUUUCUACAUUUGAGUGACGAAAAU
Molecule: long non-coding RNA, 1289 nt
Organism: Melospiza melodia melodia
Lineage: Eukaryota; Metazoa; Chordata; Aves; Passeriformes; Passerellidae
Exons: 3
Source: RefSeq, a predicted model, not a curated record